Peromyscus californicus insignis is the source of this 15753-nucleotide long non-coding RNA. RefSeq lists it as uncharacterized. The transcript is spliced from 7 exons. The record is from RefSeq and is a predicted model, not a curated record. NCBI's taxonomy places the organism in Eukaryota, Metazoa, Chordata, Mammalia, Rodentia, Cricetidae.
GGGCUCAGAUUAUUUGAGCUUAAUCUAACCUGAAAGUGGCUUUUCUUCAUUCUAGUUUCCAUGGUACCAUGAAAUACUGUGCAGGCUGCCAUGGGAAGGAAGCAAUUGAUAGUCCUACCCAGCUGUGACAUUUGUGAACCACCAUAGCAUGGUAAGAUACCUGUAAAGUUGCAUUAGUGGUACUCACUUGUCAUUGUAACCAACAGCUCCUCUAAUUGGACUUAGGGCCUCCUAAAUCAUGCCUAGUACUAAGAACCUAACCAAAUUCAUGGUGCUGAUAAGAUCAUGUUUCUUACACAAAAGAAUCUGUUUCUGCCACUUUGUUAGACCAAUGUAUUUCCUAACUACAUUCUAAAUCUUACCCUCAUAGCCAUAGUUAAUAGAAUUAAGAUAUACCAUUGAGAGUUUUAAACAACAGAGUAUAUGUGAAAUAAUUACUACCGAAUUAACUAUUAUCCCAGAGGAGAUCACUUUAGUUUGCUAUACAGUUUUCCAGAUUCUUUCCCUGAGAGCAUGUUGUAAUCUUUUGAAAUAGAAUUAUGUUGCAAAUACAGUACUCUAAUUUUUCUUUUGUCACCUUCUAUGAUAGACUUACUUCUCAUGUCCAUGUUCAGAGAGGAAGAAGCCCAUUGCUUAUAAUUUCCCAACCCAAGUCCCUUUAGUUGGUAAUUUUGUGAUUAUUUUGCUUUGAUGCCUGUUGUGGUUUCUCCCAAAUAUCUUAUUUCUUGUUACUUAAUUUUGAAUUUUUAUAAGAACACGUCUGUGGUGAUAUUGUGUUCCCCAAAAUAUUGUGCACCCUAAUAAACUUAUCUGGGGUCAAAGAACAGAACAGCCACUAGAUAUAGAGGCCAGAAAAUGCUGGCACAUAGGCCUUUAAUCCUAGCAUUCUGGAGGCAGAGGUCCAUCUGGAUCUCUGUGAGUUCAAGGCCACACUGGAAACAGCCAGGCAUGGUAACAGGAGCCUUUGAUCCCAGGAAGUGAUGGCAGAAAGCAGAAAGGUAUUUAAGGCGUGAGGACGAGUAACUACAGCUGGUUAGACUUACAGGUUUUUGAGCAGCAGUUCAGCUGAGAUCCAUUUGGAUGAGGACUCAGAGGUUUCCAGUCUGAGGAAACAGAAUCAGCUGAGGAACUGGCGAGAUGAGGUGGCUGUGGCUUGUUCUGUUUCUCUGAUCUUCCAGCGUUCACCCCAAUACCUUGCUCCAGGUUUAUUUUCAUUAAUAAGACCUUUUAAGAUUCACGCUACACACGUCCUUGUUUCUGUGUUGUUAACCCUAUAACUUUGUAGCUAAUCAUGUUCUUUAAUUAUUAUUAUUUUAAUCUGUCUUUUGUUUCCCCUACAAAUACAGCCAGAGAUCCUGACCUGAUUUCACCAUACCCUCUACCCUGUAGAGUCUACAGGGUUUUAGGUGAUGAGUACUUUGGAGAGUUGCCGAAAACAGAACAGAACUGCUGUGGCACGGUUCUCUGGAGAUACUUUUCAUGCUUUGACAGAUUCACAGGGACAGAGAACUAAUGGAGGGAAGGACACCUUCUGUGUGCUAUUCACUAGGAAUUUCAAGCUUGAUUAAGACUAUGAGGACUCACCCUAAAGACCUAGAAUAUCAUUUUGGGGAAAAUAAAGGAUAUGUUCCCCUGCUGUUGCCUUGGGAUCUCUAGAUGGUUUAUAAUCUAUCCUCAUCCAUCAGGAAAAUAGGGAUUUCAACAGCUAGUCAAAUCUAGUUGGAACAAUCUGUCUUUUGCCUCUGUGUCCUGGGAACUUAGGAGCACUCGUAUAUAACAUGUCUACACUGAGGUCAGGAAGUUGUUCAGGAAUGCUGUGUAUUAUUUUUCCCUGUAGUAUUGUGAUUAGAACUCUUAGGAAAUUUGAGAUGAGUUCAAGUUUCAAAGUGCAGCUCUUCUUACAAAGAGAUAAAUGUCCCUUCCAGUUAAAUGUGCAUUUGAUGGUUGCAAAGUCUCCACCCUGCAUUACCAUUACAGAGGUAAGGAUAAAGUAUCUCAAACUGUCAGCUCUUUAGACAGUCAGAGACUGUACUGCUUUUAGACUGUGGCAGCAUUUUAAUGAAAGGCUGCUUGUGUUUUGUGCUUGAAAUGUGGAUCACAAAGUCACACGUGGGGAAAAAGAAGACACAGACUGUGUGUGGAAGUAUUUGUAUAGAGAACCCUAUUCUGUCUUGAUUUGUUACACAUGCUGUAUUGUUGUUUACCUGACAAUCACCAGAGAAAGCUGUUUGUAUCUUGUGUGGGUUUCUUUUAUUUUAUCUACUUGUUAACAGUAUUUUCAAAAUUUUGGCUCAUGUAUCUGUUGAAAACCUUAACCUCCCUAUCAUCUAGUGGCAAAGGUAUUUCUUUAAAUAUUGUUGCAGUUUCUACAAGCAUCUAAAUUUGUAAUUUUUUUUUGUUUUAGAAAAGCUUGUCUUUUCUAUGAAAUCAAAUGAAUUCCCAGAGGAAAAUCAAUAGGUUUUACAUAGUCUCUAUUUUCAGCUGAUUUUUAACUUCCAUUUAGAAGGCAAUUUUAAAACUUAGUAUUUUGCUAAUGUUAGCUGCUUCAUAAGUAAUUUUCUGUCCCAAGCUUCUGUGACGAUUAAUAAAAGUAUGCAUGUGUAGCUAAUACCAGUUUCUUGUAGCACUAUAGGGAAGAUAAAACUUCGGUUUGGUUUUUUGUGAGGAUCUCACACCCCAAGGUUUUCUCACAAGUACUAGGAUUGUAGGCAUUUACUGCCCUCAAGCUCCUUUGGAGUCAGGUGAAAACAGUUCACAGUAGAUAGACACUAUUUUUUUAAAGAAAGUCUUAAUGUGCUUAACCCUUAUUAGAUAAGUUUCUACAAAGGUAAAUUUGUCCUCAAAUGUUGAAAUCACUGCUACAUAUUUCUACACAAUGAACAAAGCAUAAAGGAGGUUAAGAUAAAGAAUACAAUGUGCAAAAUAGGUAUUUGAAGGUCAGCUUAUAAAUUUAUAUUCAGUUAUUACUCACACAGGUUGUACCUGAAAAUGACUUGACACAGUUUGGGGGAAAAAACAAGUGGAAGCAUGCCUUUAGAAAAGAACAAGAAUGAGGCCAGGCAUGGUGCCACAGUCCUGGAAUCCCAGAACUUGGGAAGUGGGGGCAGGACCAGCAGUUCAGGGGCAGUGUUGGGUACAUAACAAGCUCAAGGUGUCUCUGCUACUGGGUCUGAACAUUUCAAAAGUAAAGAAAGGAACUCGGGCAAGAAAAUAUGUACCGUAUAAAGAGGACUAGGCAAACUACACAACCAAUUCUAAGGAAUGCUAAUAGGCUUAAACAAAAUUUAUACAUGAAGAGUGCAUACGAGGAAAUACGAGGAAGUUAUAUUGCUCUUACUGAAUAAAAUGUGUGUGUGUAUAUAUAUAUAUGUAUAUAUAUAUAUAUCGUAUGUAUUAUUAGGUUAUGCAAACUGUAUUUUAGUCUCACUAGUGACUAUGUAGUUUAUGCAAAUCUACAAGUAGCAGAAUGUAUUGUUUUAACGAGAGUAGUUGAAGUGCAGAAACUUAAUAAGAAUAGUAGAAAGUACUUUUGAAGAUGGAACAAGGUCUACAUAUUUUAAAACCAUUACAAGCAGUAGUAAGUUACUAUGUCAAAAUCAUGGGAGUUUUUAAAACUGGAAGAGUUAUUCUCUACUGAUAGGAAUGACCUUGAGGAGACAGGCUCGUUUUUCUCCCUGAGUCUAGAUGCUGGCAUGCUUUGCAUGCCAUGCUUCAUGUCAGGAAUAACAUGAGUUUAAAUAAAUUAUUGUCAUUUGGACUAUGCAUUAGAGUUUUUUACCUCCAUGAAGAUGGUUCUUUGGUUAGAAGGUUAACAGGCUUCACAUAGAUGACAACUGGGAGUUUGAUGGGAGAGGAAUUGAUCUACAGCAAACUUACUAAGUUCCAAAUUCACAAACAUUAGGUCUAGCCACCCUCUUUUUUUCUUUGUAUUACGUUCAAUUCAUUAGAAAAAUGUUGAUGCAGUAUUCUUUAAUUUUGUACUUACCCUUCCCUUACUACUGUGCUGCUCAUGCUAGACUAAUGUCUUCUCUUGCCUGGACUGUAAACAUAGCCUUUUUCUGGUCUUCCUGCUGCCACAGUUUCCUCACAGGACUCCCUCUGCAGCCAAGAUGAUUUGUUAAAAUGUGAAGCAGAUGUUGGUGUUUUCUAGUCUCAUAUAGUGACACUGUAAUGGCCUUUACCAACCAAUGUGCUCCUUUUCCCUUUCUGUGCCUCUGGUGUCUUCUAUUGUCAUGAUUCUCUUCUCUUAUCCAAACACUGCUCUUUGUUCUUCAGCACACAGAUAAACAAAAUCUCCACCAAGGAUUUGGUAAUUAAUGUUCUAGGGUUUACUUCCCUGUAGGUGGAAGUUUUCCUGUGUCCCUCCCAGUCCUGCAUCUGCUCAGUCCCAAGUAAACAUACAGAGGCUUAUAUUAAUUAGAAACUGUAUGGCCUAUGGCUCAGGCUUCUUGCUAGCUAGAUCUUAUAACUUAACCCAUUCCUAUUUAUGUGUUGCCAUGUGGCCACAGUGUUACCAAUCUGCUGGUGUCUUGUUGCCCCUUGGCGGGCUGGCAUCUCUCCUGACUCCACCCUUCUCCAUCUCAGUCUUCAGUUUGAAUGUACCGCCUACCCUUAUUCUGCCUCACCAUUGGCCAAAUCACUUUAUUUAUCAACCAAUGAGAGCAACACAUUCACAGCAUACAGAAAGACAUCCCACAGCACUCCCCAACAUCUUUGGUACUGAAGUAACUGUCAGACAAUCCUGAUGUUAUAACAUUCACCCUGUCCUUUCACAUUUACUCACCUGGCACCUUAUUUUUCUCCUUUGCACUUAUCCAUUGGCUUAUUUAUCUGUUUAUUUUGUUUUCUUUUCCCAACAGAAAAUGGGUGCUUUAGAAGCCAGGACUGAGCUCUGUUUAUUAUUCAGGACCCAGAGUCUAGAAAUUGUUGACAUGCAAUAGGUGGUCUCUAAUGUCCCUAAUAUGAAAGGAUCCUAUCACAUUAGAGAGUCCUGUCCUCAAAUCAGAGCACUAGCAUGUAUUAGCACUGCCAGUGAUUUUAAACCAGUAAUUAGCUGAAAGCCAGACAUUUGCAUUCAAAUCUGAACCGUAUGCCAUUGUGAUGCAGAGUGAACAAGGAGUCUUUGCAGCUGAUGCCCAGUAAUUUUUGUUGUUAGUCGUGUUCUCUGGUAAAAUACUCAGACUCAAUUUUACAAGUUAUGUGACUAUAGUGCCUACGUCUAUUCAGGCUUUUACUGCUUGACUCAGAAAGCAUUUGAGUAGAAGCAUCUCUCCCUAGAAUUUGCAACAUAGUGGUACUUAACUCUGGCUUCCUGAUACACUUAGCUUUAAGUGGCAGAUUCUAAGGUGCUGCCAUAAAUUUUGGCUCAGGGCUGCAUGGAUUCAACAUGUGGCCGCAUGGCUGAAGCAAGCUGGGAGUCUUUUGAAACCUGGAAGUUGAAAUAAUGCUCACAUCAAAGUGUUAGGGAGAGUGGAGGACUAAAUGAAACAAUGCACUGAAAUGCUUAGAAUUGAGUACAGAGAACUCUCACAAAGGCUUCAGUGGUGUUACACUUAGUGCUGCUCUCUUAGAAAGACUUCAUUUUAUUCUACUCUUUAUUUUUCUCAUGUCUCAACAGCCUUCUAAGCCCUUCUACAGUGGUGACAUAUGGAAAAAACUGUACAGUCACUUAGUUUGAGGACAAUUAGAGCCAGAAUAUUGUAAACAACGAAAUGGAGGAAUCACUGAACUAACUGACAUUACUUGGAUAAUUUCCUUUUUAUUUCAAACCCUAUUUUCUUAAUACCUCAUUCCUAUCAUGAAAAAGAUAAAUACAACAGAAAGACAAACCUCAAAUAGCAGAAAUCACUAUGUGUUUGUUGGGCUGAUAUUUAACAGAGGGGCUAAUUUGACUAAAGUCACCACUGACGAAGGAUUUGAGAAUGGAGCAGAAGCAUUGAGAAUGAACACUUUUUCUUUUUGUAAUUAAAGGUCAACUGUGGGGAAUAAGUGGAAUAUGAAGUGUCUCCCAUCCCCACAAAAAGCUGCUGUUAGUGGCAUGAUUGCCAGUUGAAGGCCUUUUAGAAAGUUAUGGAUAAGGAGUCUGGUCAAGCCAAUAGAUUAAUUUAUUGCUGGAUUUAUCACUGAAUGGAUUACUAGGAGGUGGCAGAAACUGAGUAGUAUGACGAGAUUGGACAAAUCUGUUCUCUGGAAUCAUGCUCUUGAAAGGUAUUUCUUUUCCCCCAUUUCUUGGCUUCCUGAACAACAGGACCUAACGUGAGCAUUUUCAAUCUACCAUGCCCUUGUGGCAUGAUUCCAUCUUGCCAUGCAUCUGAACGUUAUAUGGACCCAUGAGCUGAAAACUGAGACCCUAAGCUAGAAUAAAUUCUGCCUCCCUUAUGUUUGCUUAGGAAUCCCAUGAGGCUGACCAAAAGCUAGUUAACAUGGUGCCUUUCCAUUCAAAGAGCAGAUUUCAUUGAGUUCUUACCUGUGUUCAGAGCUGAGAGAAUUCAAGAGAUAGCAGUCAGUAAGCCAUCAGUGCCUGCAAAAAAUAAUAGCAGAAUGAAUCAGGCUGCUGCUGGUAGUGCUGAACUUGUUUAUAGGAUUUUGGUGUCUUUCAUGGUUUGGGACCAUCUCUAGUUUUCUGGAUAUGUAAGUGUCUUAGCUAGGAUUUCUAUUGCUGUGACAAAACACCAUGAUCAAAAAGCAAGUGCAGGGAGUGCUUAUUGGCUUGCACUUCAACUUUGCUGUUCAUCAUUGAAGGAAAUCAGGGCAGGGUCCUAGAGGCAUGAGCCGAUGCAGAGGCUCUGGAGGGGAGCUGCUUACUGGCUUGCUUCUGAUGGCUUGCUCAACUUGAUUUCUUAUAGAACCCAGGACCACCAGCCCAGGGAUGGCACCACCCACAAGGCGCUGGGUCCUCCUCCAUUGAUAAAUUGAGAAAAUGCCUUACAGCUGAAUCUCAUGGAGGCCAUUCCUCAACUGAACCUCCUUCCUCUGUGAUGACUCUAGCUUGUGUCAAGUUGACAAAUGAAACUAGCCAGUACAGUAAGCUAGUGUAAUUUUGUAAUAAUGUGUUUCUCAUUUUAGUGACUGAAAGAAUGAGAAAUCAUCCCACCAGAAUUUAUUUGUUUUCCUGUUUUGUUUUGUUAGUUUAGUUUAGUUUAGUUUAGUUUAGUUUUGAGACAGAAUCUCACUCAUAGCCCAAGCUACCCUGGAACUGUGUAGCCCAGGCUGCCCUGAAACUAUGUAGUCCAGGCUGCCCUGGAACUAUGUAGCCUAGGCUGUCCUGGAACUAUGCAACCCAGGCUGCCAGGGAACUGUGUAGCCCAGGCUUUCUUGGCACUGACAGUAGCCUUGCCUUAGCCUUCCAGUGCUAAGACUAUAAGCAUGAGCUACCACACCUAGUUAAGUGUUUUUCUCAAGCAAGGCUGUAUAAAUCAGUGUCGUUACGGUAGCACUUUUGAUCGUCUUCGCAUGUCACUGGGCUCAAGAACACUUGGGAGAACAGUAAAAGAGUGCACUAAUUUAUGGUAUCCCCUUCUUCAGUUAAGAAAGGCAUCAGUCAGUGUUCCCAAGGAGCAUCCAAAACACAAAUGCAGAACUCUACUUUGUCUGUUGUGGUACUAGAGCUGCUGUUACUCGGAAUUUGUGCAAAAGCAUCUGAUGUAACACAUAGUCAAGACAGCAGAAUGCCAUGUCUGAGUCAUUGUUUUACUCAUAUAGAAAUUCUGUUAGAAUAUUUCGCUAUACUAUGGGAAAUGUCCAUUUGUAAUUGUCAUUGGCAAAAACAUUGGAUUCCACUGAAUGUCUGGGUGAAUAUACCAUCAGAAAAGGCCAUUGAUUAUUUUAAGAUACCAUAUAAACAAGCUUUCUAUGUUUCUCAGCCUCUCAUGAGGCAGAACUCAUUUUUUCUCAUUUUCAUUAUGGUAAGUUUAGCUUUUAAGACUAUAAGCAAAUAGAAGUUCAGGCUAACUCUAAGAAACUUGACAGAAGAUUCAUGCUGCCUUUUCCUAGCUAUGAAACGGGCAAUGAUUUUAAUGGUCAAAUUUGUCUGUAUCUUUAAUAGACACAAAUGAUAUACAGAGAAAUUUUCACACUUGAAAUAACCAAAGGAAUUCUAACUUCUGCUGGCAAUAGGCCGUUGAAGACUCAUAAUUAAUUGAUGUGUGUCAUUGACUUCCCUUCAGUGAUUUUGGAUUGGAUGGGAAAUAAUCUAAAUGAUACAUAUUUUCUGUAAUACUCAGUAUUUUUCUAUUUCAUUCACUUUGAGGAAAUGUGAUUUGUUUGGACCUGUUUAUUCUUCUGUCAAAUUCUUUUGAAAUUUCUUUUCAAAAGGAAAAGGAGAAGAGCUUAUGAAUGCUAAAGAAAUGGCCCAUGUGUAUUGACAAAGAUGUGCUGUAGACUUCCCCAGGAUUCAGGGAGACUGUCAGAAUGUUGGUUUUGUUGUGCAACCACCGUCCCUAUCUUUAUAACGAGCAACAACUUUUGAUCUGGAAUAAAUAAGGCUAUCAGAGUGAAGCUCUGUAAGAUGAAUAUCAUAAUGCUAAAAAAGAACCAAAUGUCCCCACAUACUUUUCUUUUCUUAUAGACAAAAAACCAUUAAGCUAAAAUCCAAAGAAGGGCUUGUCAUCACACACCUGCACUCCUAGUACUAUGAGGCAGAGACAGAAGCAUCAAGGGUUCGAAGCCAGUCCUGGCUCUGUAGCUUAGUUGAAGUCAAUCUAAGCUAAGUGAGUCCCUAUCUCAAAAAAGAAAAAGAAAAAGAAAUUAAAAGCCAGAGAAUUUGGGUGAAUUUAGGACCCUUUGAUCCCACAGUUUGUACUUUCAGGAAAGUUGUAUAAAACAGUCCAUUUUAACUGUUAGCCACAUGGUUUAGGACAGGCUUGCUGAACCAGGCAAGGGUCUGAUACAUCCAUCGCUACACACCUGCUGCUUCCAAUGUAGUCACUUCCAGCUUCUGCACUGUAAAAAGCAUGCUCCCAGGCCUGUUGACCAACAUCACCACAGAGAUUGAAGGACAACUCUAAUCUAUUCUCGAAUAGAGGUUUUUGAAGUAUGACCUGAUGAUUCUCUGGAUUUCCUCAAUGUCUGUUGUUAUGUCCCCCUUUUCAUUUCUGAUUUUGUUGAUUUGGAUGCUCUCUCUCUGUCUUUUGGUUAGUUUGGAUAAGGGCUUGUCUAUCUUGUUGAUUUUCUCAAAGAACCAACUCUUUGUUUCAUUAAUUUUUUGUAUUGUUCUCUUUGUUUCUAUUUUAUUGAUUUCAGCUCUCACUUUGAUAAUUUCCUGGCGUCUAUUUUUCCUGGGAGACUGUGCUUCUUCUUGUUCUAGAGCUUUCAGAAAGAGUACAUUUUUACAAAGAAAGACAAGACAGACUUCUCAGAUAAUAACAACUGAUGAUCUGCUGCUAGCAGACCAGAAGCACAAAGGAAUCCAAAGGAAUUUUCUAUGUGUUGAGAAUCCUCCAAACUUGAAAACUCAGAUCUACAGGGAGGCAUCAAGACCAAAACAAAAGGUAAAUACACAGGUGCAUGUAAAAGAAUGUCUUCUUGUGUAUAUGUGUGUAUAUGUGUAUGUGUUGUGUGCAUGUGUGUGAGUACAAUAUGUGCCUUGUAUAUACACAUGUGUACAGGUGUGGGCUUCCACAUGUGUGCAUAGAAGUCACUGAAAGUGCUGGGUGUUCUCUUCUGUCACACUCCACUUUAAUCCCUGUGAGAAAGGCUUUGAUUGAAUCUAGCUAGCUAAUCUGGGGGCUAUAAAGCCCAGCCAUCCUCCUGUCUCCACCUUAGACCAUGCUGGAGUUAAAGGUGAGCACAGUUACAUCCAGGUUUUUAUGUGAAUUCUAGAGAUUUGAACUUAUUUCUCAAGCUUUUGUGAGUUGCCACUGUACCUGGGUGGACUUUGGUAACGUAGCUGUCUUCUUUGAAUCACCCAUGCAUGUUUCAGUAAGGGAGCCUGGUGAACCAUUGCUUCACUGUAUUAGACCUGGGUGAAUCCAGUCUGUCCUCAGUGCUCUACUGGGGUAAAUAGACAUGUGUUGACAUCUCCCCAGGAAAAGUCUAACAGCAGUGUAUAAUCCCAAGCCCUGAGAUGCUGAAAUGGUUCCAAUGAGUUCAAGGUCAGGCUGAGCUAUGCUGUAAGCCCUUAUCUCAAAGCAAUAGCAACAAGAAUACAAAGGAAAAAUGAACAAAAAAUUGCCUAAUGGGUCAGAAUAUUGGGAGUUGGACUCAGCAACUUAUAUUUUGUGUCACAUAUUCCUCUAAUUGUUAUUCUCCCCAGGGUUGAAGCUACCAGCAUAGAUAUGCCUCACCAACUCUCCUGUGUUGUGAAAGUGCAAGGCCUUCAUGAGUAUACUUUCUUCAAAUAGCCACAUCUGUCUGCCAGGGCAGCAGGACUUCUUUCCCUUCAGCGGCAAGGAGCUGGAUUUAGUGUAAUGGUCUUCAAGGAUGGUGUUAUCAAAGUGCCAUCAGUUAUGAAAGCCUAGUGUUUUUCUUCUAUUCUUACAUGUCUCUUGCUAACUUUUAUGUUCCCCUAAUUUGCCUGCAAUUUUAGGCAUUGGAUGGAGACAGAAUUAUCAUCAUCUGACACUUCCUCUUUUAUGAAGAGACCCGCAGAGGAAUGAAUAGCCCUGCUCUCAGUCAACUCACACAUUUGUGGCAUGAGAAAUUUGGUAGUGAGGUUUUAUGAAGAACAAGUCUGUGGCACAGACUACAUUUAUAUAAAGCCAAUGCUGUGCUGAAGGCAGAGAGUCUGUCAGAAAAUGUUAGAAGACUAACAGAAGCUCUAGUGCAUUGUCAGGCCAAGUCAUGGGGGAUUUAAGAGAAGCCAGUUCCCUCUCUCUGAAAGUCACCUUCCAUUACAUUGAGACAAAAGAAGGAAACUCUUCAAAGAGAAGCUGAUGUGAAAUCAGGAAAUUAAUUUUCAAUACAGAGAGUAGAGAUUACAUGUGCAUAACUUUUUAAAAGUAUAUAAUUUGUACCUUUCAAAUAUUUAAUUAAAGUAAUAUACAUAAAAAUUCUAUAUGAAUUUUAUAAAUACUUUUCUAAUAACUUUCUAGGAUGGCGAAUAAGGCUCCAUCAUGAAUAAAUACCCUAGUUUCAUAAUGAGUAUCCUAAUUUGAGACUAUGAAUCUUUAAUUUAUCCACAUCUAACUCGUUUUCAUUAAUUUUAAACAUUGAGUUAUUUAUUGAAUAGUGGCUGUGGUUCAGGCUCUGAACAGCUGCUGCCCCAGUCUUUGCAUAUCUUAGUCUAGUGAGGUGCCCAGGACUACAGUGACAGUUGUGAGAUACUGUACAGCACAGUGAUGUGCAAGUCCAAGCAUCUUGGGAGUAACCCAGACCUGGAGGUUACGGAAAGCUUUCUGAGAGAUGCGAUUGCAAAAUCAGUACAAAGGAUGCUCAGGGUUGGGGAACUGAUGGGGGAAGGUGGAGAACAAGACUCCUCUGAGAGGAGGAGCUGACAGGCGCAGAAGUCAGAGGAGAGAGAGAAGAUGUGCCACGCUGAAUGAACCCAGAGUGACCCAGUCAUCCUGAAAUGUGGGAGUAAUGUACGGUGCAAAGGUUAAGAAAGAAGUCUGUGAGGGAAGCAGAUACAUUUAUUUCAUGGGAAAUCUUUAAGGUUAGAAGUCAGUUGUUUUCAAAGUAGGAAUGGUUUGGUCAGAUACUACAUUACUGAAUGAUCGUUCUCGUUGCUGUGCAGAGAAUGAAUUGAAAAGUAAGUUUGAAACCAUAGGGUCGGUAAAAGCAGAAUAUUGAUAUUGUUGAAGUAUUCUGUGUAAUGGAAACAUUGGUUAAACUGGGGUGGUAUUGAUGGAGAUGGAGAGAAGGGUGUCCACUGAUGUAAUUAAGAGGUGGAAUCCAAGAUUCUCACAGCAAGGUAGGAUCUAAACUCAGUUGUGAAUGUAUGAACAUCAAAAAGAGUUCAUAGAUGCGGACUCUAGAGAACUCAGGUGCCUGUGACGAAUAAUCGUAUGGAAGUCACAGUGUUAGAAAGCUGGAAGAGUGAGGCUUUGCUCACAAAGAUCAGGACUUUGGAGCUGGGGUUUCAGAGGUGAAAUGUCAGAGCACACAAAGCCCGGAAUGUGACCUGGGAAGUAGAUGACUGACCCUGAGUGGACCACAGGGAGGAACGACGGAAAACCAAGCUAGCAAGGGGGAGAGCUAUGCCAGAUGCCCACGGGUUUCUGUUUUAUGAGUCAGACACUGAAGGCUUCAGUAAAUGCCAGGGACACCACCAGGAAGACAGUUGACGACAGAGGUAAAGAUAAGAAGUUAGUAUAGACUAAAUUGUAUCAUGAAGUGGCCUUGCCCACCUUUCUCACAAGCAGGGAGAAGAGGAGUUUCUUUCAUGAAUGUUUUCUUGUAGCUUUUCAAGCCUGCUGGGUGGGGAUGGAUAAGCUUGAUGGCCGUUCUUACUUCCUAGUCCCAUCUUUGACCUUUGCUGAUUCAUCAGGAUAUUAUCCCUUAGAACUCCAGUUAUAUGAUCCCUUUGCCCUCCAGUAUUUCUGGGGUCCUUCCAUAAUGGUUUCUUUGAUUCUAAUAGUCCUAAUUACUUGAACAUAUGGGCUAACAUGUUUACACAUAUAAAUAUGUGUAUUUGUCUGUGUGUGCCUAUGGGUGUGCACAGUGGUAUAAGGUAAAGGUUAUUCUACUUAUUUAAUAUUUGACUACCAAUUUUGGCUCAUAAAAUGAUGAUCAUUUGAAUCUGCAGAAAUAUAAGGCAGUUUAUGCUAAGAGAUCAACUAUCCAAGCCCAGGGGUGUUUAUGGUAUUACAAUAGACGUACACAAACACUUGAAGAUUGAGAACUUGAGAAAUCACAAGGUCACAAAGAGAAGCAGCAUGGGGGAUGAUUACUUGCUACUCUGUUUUGGUGUCUGCUGUGUGUUAAGUCCUGGAUUUAUUAUUUUCUAUUUUUCUUUUAUUGAAAAUAGAUUUUUUUUCAUAUGUUAUAUUUCGAUUACAGUUUCCCCUCCUUCAACUCCUCCAAGAUCCUCCCUACCUGCCCUCCCAACCAAGUCUACCCCCUUCCUGUUUCUCAUUAUAAAAUAAACAGAAGGCAUAUAAAUAAUAAUAAUAAUCGUAGUAAGAAUAAUAAUAAAAUAAGAUAAGCAAAAACAAACAAAUCAGAAUAGGACAAAACAGAAGAAAAGGAGACAAAGAAAAACCACAAGAAACACAUGUUGACACAGAGACACACACAUUCCCAUGUCCUGGAUUUUUAAGAUGUCCCUGAAGCCAGAAUAAAAUGUUAUGUCUGCAGGUAUCACUAUUUCCACUAACAACAACAUAAGGGACUUACAGGAACAAUGUUCAUGCAGACCUCCUAUUCCAAAGAAAAUGGUACAAAGAAAAGCAAGAAGUGUUCAUUUUCUAUCUGAAAAUCAUGGAAACUAUGGCUAAUCUACUCAUUGUCUUCAAUCACCUGUGAACAGUUUUAUUAUACUCUUAUUUAUUUUUGUGUGCAUGAGGAGAGGUAGGGAUGGGGUCAGGAGUGUGAAUGUGCCAUGGCAUGCCUGUGGAUGUCAGAGGACGGCUUUCAGAACUCUGUUCUCACCUUCCACCAUGUGUGUCUGUAUUAGUUGUUUUUCUAUUGCUGUGAUAAAACGCCGUGACCAAGGUGACUUACAGAAGAGAGUUUACAUUAUGUCUAUGGUUUCAGAGGGUUAGGGAUCGCGAUGGUGGAGACAGCCCACAGCAGACAUGUAACCUGGAACUGGAAGCUGAGAGCUAACAUCCCAAACCAACAUAAAAUGGAAAGCUUUAACUGGGAAUGAAACUACCAUUUAUGGUUUUGGGGAGACACUGGGAACCCUGGGACUAGAUGUGGAUGUGCCUUACCAGGUCUGAAGAGCCUUUAGCUAUCAUCUCUUCAGUGUCUCUGCUGUUCUUCCCAGAACUCGGAAGAGCCGCGUCCUCCCUCAUUCUGCUCUUCCACUGUCUUAUGUAUGCUUCCACACUAUUAAUAACUUCUUUUCUCUCUGGACCUGACACAUUUCUUUCAGAUUUCCAGUGAAUUACUCAACAUCUAUCCUGCCAAAAUCACAUGAAAAGGAAGAACCCCUUCACCAGUACAGUUAUAUAAGGACUAGUGACAGUAUUUUUCAGAAGCACUGAAAUUCCUACUGCAUCUGGAGCAAACAGAAGAAAAAUGAAGGAAGGGCAGACGUGAUCUGGCACCUCAUAGCAAGCAUGUCAGGGGAGGAAUGCUAUUGCUGUACUUGGCAUCAUCAGCGUUUCUCAAAUGCCAGUGUGUUAAAGCCAUGAUCCCAUGAUGAUGCUAUUGAGAGACUGUGUUGGUCUGGGCGUUACACAAAUAUUGAGGAUGAGGCCACCAAAGUUAGAUGAGUAGAAGCAACUUUAUUCCAUCAUCGCAGGAUAUAAAAUCUUCUAACUAGUUACAGCCACAGGCAGGUAUCUGGCUCUGUGACCCCAAGAAGGGGCCAUAAGCAUCUUCUUAUAGCAAAAGACUGUGGGACCUUGGUCGCCUUCUUCUGUUCCCUAGAUCAUGAUGUAAGCAAUUUCCACUCUGCCAAGCAUUCCUGCCAGGAUGUGACUCAACACCACAGACUCAAAUCAACAGAACAAGUUGAUUACGGAUUGGACCCCAACCACUGGGAGCCCAAAUUCACUUUUUGUGUUCAUUAUCCUAGGUAUUUUCUUAUACCAAUGAAACACUAUUCUUAAAAAAAAAUCUUUGGUGAUGUGUGCAUGGAUAAUCUAGGAUCUUAUCUGGGACCAAAGCCAUAAUCUCAGAUUGUCAGAUGAAGACUGUAAAUACAGAAAGUUCCAGGCAAUCUGAAGUGCCAACUCAGUGUCAUCAAAUCAAACACUUUGGAAGCCUGAAGCUAGAAACCGCACUGUGGCAUUACCGACGCUGAGGCAGUGAUGCAUCAACUACCUGCUCUACAUAAAUGAGAAGAAGCCAAGAACCAGAAUGCUGUCACUCCAUUCCACAGUUUAUCAGCCCCUAGAAUAGUGCCUGCAGCUAGCACAGAUGCCAGCAUGUAUUGGAUAAAUGAGUCCCUGAAUCAAGCCGUGAAUAAAAUCCAAUAAAAAGUAGAGUGCAUGGCCCUUGACUUUCCUACCCCAUGCUUUUUCUACUCCAUUUUGAUGGACUGCACGCUACUGAAUAUUAUACACAGUGAAGCACAGUCGAAAAAGAAUGGCCAGCCUGACUCUCUCUGACAGAUCUACCAUGGCAUGUCUACUCUGAUAGAAAAUUCUUCUCCCCAAAGGCUUUGCCUCUCCUGCAGAGAAAGCUCAUGAGCAAAUGCUGUCAUCAGCAGCCGUGCAUUGGUGAAGACACACAGUGAGAGAAGAUCCCAGGCUUUGUUUCAACUCAGGGAUUUUAGCAGAAACCCAAGAAGACUAUUCAGAAUAUUGUCUCUCAACAAAAACAAUAACCUUUCCCCUACAUCCCGAGGCUGCCCUUGUCAUUGUGAUUUUCUUAUUUAUUCUUGACUCUCUAUUGAAGAGCAACUGAUUUUUCUCUUGUCAAGAAUGCAUUCAUGUGAUAGGGAUAUUUAAAGCUAUGUUAUGGGAUUUCGUGUCUCUUUAUACACAGCCUGUUUCUUACCUCUUGGUUUAAAAUGAUUAAAAGAAACUUUUCCUGUAACUAGGACAAUAGGCAGAUCAAGCUUCUUUAUAUAACCAUUUUUGUUUUGCUUUUUAUAUACACAGAAGCACUACUAUAUAAAAAUACUCAACAUUUUUAAUGAAUGAAUCUAAUACUAUAUAUUGUAUGUUCAUCACAAACCACACAGGAGACAGUAAUAUUUGA